UUUUCCUCAGGAUAGCUGGCUCAUGAGAUUCAGUCUCAUCCGCUAAAGCUAAUGAUUAGAGGCCUUGCGGCCGAAAUGACCUCAACCUAUUCUCAAGCUUUAACUGGGUGAGAAGUCUGGCUUUUCUGUACUUUUCAGAAAAGAAAACUCUGUCU
RNAcentral lists this non-coding RNA (155 nucleotides) under Stegodyphus mimosarum. Its description in RNAcentral is "Eukaryotic large subunit ribosomal RNA". It matches the Rfam family "Eukaryotic large subunit ribosomal RNA", at positions 967 to 1118 of the family's 3401-position model. Lineage: Eukaryota; Metazoa; Arthropoda; Arachnida; Araneae; Eresidae. The record is from Rfam by way of RNAcentral.